GGCAAGGUGGCCGAGCGGUCUAAGGCACCAGGUUCAGGAAAACCUGAAUUAGUGAAUCUCAGUAGAUUUCCUGGUCUCAGUAAUGGGGCGUGAGUUCGAAUCUCACCCUUGUCA
Molecule: non-coding RNA, 114 nt
Organism: Dichotomopilus funicola
Lineage: Eukaryota; Fungi; Ascomycota; Sordariomycetes; Sordariales; Chaetomiaceae
Source: the annotation of a RefSeq genome assembly